CUUGUACGUAAAUGGGUCGGUUGCUGUAUAAACACGUCAAUUGGACAGAUAGCUAGCUGACUGCUACAUUAGGCGGCGGCUGUCUGUAAACAAUAGGAUAACAGGUAAAUAUGUAGCUACAAUUCUAGCUUAAAAAGCAAACACAUACGAGAGGCAUUAAAUACACAUACAUAUACAUAAGCAAACACACACACACAAUUUGAAAGAUUUCGUUCUUGUUCUUUAUAAAACAAAAAAGAGUCAUAAAAAUAAACACAAGCAAUUCAGUUUUUUUUAUUAUUUGUAUGUUAACAAAAGCUGAAGCCGAUAAGAUAGAUGAAUGCGACAGCUUUAUAAUGUUUAUCAUUAUGAUAAGAUGCGGGAUGUUGUUUGGCAACGUGAACGUGUAAAGUGGAUGCAAUCUCUAUCACCCUCCCUCCCUCUCUUUCAUAAAUGACCUGAGUCAGCAACAUUUGCCAAAGUGCCUCUGUCCCUUUCGCUCACUCGCAUUCGCUUCGCUUAUAGUCGAUUAACCUAAUAUUGAGUUGUUCUUGCAGCAGAUACACACAAACAACUAUGCACAAGCAUACAAGCUCACACAUAAGGUUGUACUUGCCACACAGCUGAGUGCAACAUGGCGAGUGGAAUUUUCCGUUGUUCGGAAAUACACGAAGCGUCCGCUUCACAUUGUUGUUGUAGUUGUUGUUGUGACGUAAUAAAAGCGCCGCUAUUGGACCGAAAAUCAUUGCCCGCAGCAAAGCAAAGUUGCACUUCACCAUUCAGAUGAGUGAUUCUGUGAUUUGGGUUUCCCAAUUUUUGUUAAAUUCAGUAUAAUUGGCAACAGAUACAUAUGUAGUUAUAUAUGUAUGGUAAAAAUUGAUUAAUAAAGUAGAAGAAAAUGGCGACUGAAUCCUAAGCAUGUUCCAUGCCAUUGUUCCAUGAAACUUUCUAAUACAGUAACAAGUGCUCAGCACACUUUAACGACAACAACAAGAAUACUGGAAUAACAUUGGAACAAACAAACCGGUUGGAGUUCCAAUUCUUUUUUGUUCUCUCCACAGACGACACACAAAGUCAUGGGGUCGAAGCUUUUUUGUUGUUGCUGUUGUGUGUGUUCUUCCGUUUGUUUAUUUUGGCAGCGAGAUAAUCAGAUGGAGUGCAAGCAAUGCUGACUGUGCUGCUCGCAGAGAGAGAGAGAGAGAUGGACUGAUAAGGGUAGCCAUUAGUCUUAUUGCUUAAGACGUAAUAAGAGUAAAUAUUAGCAAAACAUAAAAGUAAAAUAAAAAACUGUUCGCCUAGAAAGUUCCAAAUGGCGCUGGGCCAAGAGAAAAAAAACAGUUGUUGUCAUGCAACUGCGUAUUGUAAACGCUUCAAGCACAAAUUGAAAGUAAAGUCAAUUCAGCAAAUUAAAAAUGACUUUAAAAACGAAUCGAAAAAAAUCAUAAAAAUAGUUCGAUUACACACACACAAUUAAAAAUACAUAUGUUUGUGUUGGAAUUUCAACAGCGUUGCCAGACCGGUCGAACACUACACGUCAAUAAAGCAAAUAAUACGACAACAACAACAAUAUGUUUUAAAGGUGAAAAAGAUGGCUGCUAAAGGGGAAGAAAAAAAAAACAAAAUAAAAUAUGCAAAAAAUAAAGUAAAAAAUUACAUUCCAAAGAAACACAAAUCGUUAUUGAAAUAUGUAUGUUUUGAAAUUAAUCAUUUACUUUACCUACUGUUCGCACAUUAUCUCAUUUCUUUGUUUGGUUAUGUGCGCUCACGCAUACACUCUCAUCUGCAAUGAGCAACACACAUACAUGCACCAAUAUGCAUAGUACAUACAUGUACUUGCUAUGUGUUUACAUGUAUACAGUUAACCACCAACACCGAUCCGAAAUUUGUUAGCAAUUACACUACUUGUACAUACAACUUGCCAUUCGUAUUUAUUUAUAAAUAACUCUAAAAUUAAUAUGCCACCAAUUGGAUUGGAUCCGAUUUGUUACGGUACCCAGCACUUUUAUUUUUUAUUUUGCAUUCUCUUUUUUUCACUACAAAAUCGAUUUUUGCACUAUUAUUUCUCUCUGUAUGGUUGUAAAAAAAACAACCAUUACUUACAGUUUAUUAUUCAUGUUUGAUGGCAUUUUCACACUUAAUGAUUGCAACUUAACGCACAAAGAAACAAAAAUUUGGUUUUGUUGAAUAAAACUUAUUCUCUGAUUUAGCGAAAGGCGUUUGCGAGAACUCUGCACUUGCGA
Long non-coding RNA from Drosophila sulfurigaster albostrigata, 2219 nucleotides. RefSeq lists it as uncharacterized. Lineage: Eukaryota; Metazoa; Arthropoda; Insecta; Diptera; Drosophilidae. The record is from RefSeq and is a predicted model, not a curated record. The transcript is spliced from 2 exons.